ACUUAACAAAAACACAUGCUAACCAACAACAGAGUUAUAAACCCACAUGAAAAUUGCAGCCCUGCUCAUAAAGAAAUAAUAAAUUACUCAACCAUGAUUAUAACUGCAUUUCUUUCUCCUAUGAAAAUUUGUACUAAAACGUUACUUCAUACUUCAUAAACAAUCACACUACACAGAAUCGUAAACCAAGAUGUUGUUUCCAUGUUUUCUUCUAUUUCCAACGGAAUAAAAACAUAACCAAAUAUUCCACCCAUACAACCAAAAUGGAAAACAGAGCACACAACACACAUAUCAUUCAUUAUUUUUAUUUGCCAAACAAAAUACCCCAAAUGCAGCAUUCCAAUCCCACUAAAUUCGAGGAUUCCAGUUUCUCCUCUUUAAGAACCCCAACAAAGGGUACAUCAAAUAGUUUAUUAGGAAAAUCUUUGUUAACUAGCCUUGGUAGAGUUUCAUUCUACAUGAUUCAUCUGUGAACCAUCAUCGCCCCUACCAUGGUCAUGAGCAACUAAUACAGUUCCAUUACUCACAUGCAGCCUUAGUAUUCUCUGGAUUAUAUGUUCCCUUUAGAGAAGUUUUCUUUGAAUCAUUAGAAUCUAAUCCUAAAACCCUUUCAUCGAUUGUUAUUUGACUUGGGAAGCUAAUCACAAAUAACAGGAACUGACACAAUGGUUGAAAUCUCUAGAACCAUACUGCUAAUUAUAAAAUAAGGGGAAAUGUUCACUAAAUAAGACUUGGAACCAACACUGCAUAAACACCACAACAAUAACACCAAAACCCUAACUACAAAACGCAACGAUAACCUUGCUGCAUCCUGGCGUCGUCUAGCUCGCCGGAGAUGCUGAUGAAUCCCCGGGCCACAACUGGGCCGAGCGAAGGUGGGGUCUGCAGAAGCGGAUUUCGCUCGCGUCCAAGAGCCCCCAGCAAAAUCGAGGAAGUUCCCCUUAAUGCUAAACCCUAACUACCAUAAGCAGAUGGGGCUGACGAACCCAGUCGUGAGAACGUGGUCGGGGCCAUUAUAAGUUUU
RNAcentral lists this long non-coding RNA (1024 nucleotides) under Vigna radiata. Its description in RNAcentral is "long non-coding RNA (VRAD_LNC005721)". The record is from RNAcentral. Lineage: Eukaryota; Viridiplantae; Streptophyta; Magnoliopsida; Fabales; Fabaceae.